This 2326-nucleotide ribosomal RNA is filed under the name Salmonella enterica subsp. enterica serovar Typhimurium. RNAcentral's name for it is "partial 23S ribosomal RNA". It matches the Rfam family "Bacterial large subunit ribosomal RNA", at positions 711 to 2925 of the family's 2925-position model. The record is from RNAcentral. Lineage: Bacteria; Pseudomonadati; Pseudomonadota; Gammaproteobacteria; Enterobacterales; Enterobacteriaceae.
AGACCCGAAACCCGGUGAUCUAGCCAUGGGCAGGUUGAAGGUUGGGUAACACUAACUGGAGGACCGAACCGACUAAUGUUGAAAAAUUAGCGGAUGACCUGUGGCUGGGGGUGAAAGGCCAAUCAAACCGGGAGAUAGCUGGUUCUCCCCGAAAGCUAUUUAGGUAGCGCCUCGUGAAUUCAUCUCCGGGGGUAGAGCACUGUUUCGGCUAGGGGGCCAUCCCGGCUUACCAACCCGAUGCAAACUGCGAAUACCGGAGAAUGUUAUCACGGGAGACACACGGCGGGUGCUAACGUCCGUCGUGAAGAGGGAAACAACCCAGACCGCCAGCUAAGGUCCCAAAGUCAUGGUUAAGUGGGAAACGAUGUGGGAAGGCCCAGACAGCCAGGAUGUUGGCUUAGAAGCAGCCAUCAUUUAAAGAAAGCGUAAUAGCUCACUGGUCGAGUCGGCCUGCGCGGAAGAUGUAACGGGGCUAAACCAUGCACCGAAGCUGCGGCAGCGAACGUAUCACCCAAGACAACUUUACGGAGUUGACGAUUGACGGAGCGAAGCGACGUCAAAGCGUUCAUUAAAGUCGAGUUGGCUUAGGGAUACGUUCGUUGGGUAGGGGAGCGUUCUGUAAGCCUGUGAAGGUGUGUCGUGAGGCAUGCUGGAGGUAUCAGAAGUGCGAAUGCUGACAUAAGUAACGAUAAAGCGGGUGAAAAGCCCGCUCGCCGGAAGACCAAGGGUUCCUGUCCAACGUUAAUCGGGGCAGGGUGAGUCGACCCCUAAGGCGAGGCCGAAAGGCGUAGUCGAUGGGAAACGGGUUAAUAUUCCCGUACUUGGUGUUACUGCGAAGGGGGGACGGAGAAGGCUAUGUUGGCCGGGCGACGGUUGUCCCGGUUUAAGCGUGUAGGUGUGUGUUCCAGGUAAAUCCGGUUCACUUUAACACUGAGGCGUGAUGACGAGGCACUACGGUGCUGAAGCAACAAAUGCCCUGCUUCCAGGAAAAGCCUCUAAGCAUCAGGUAACAUCAAAUCGUACCCCAAACCGACACAGGUGGUCAGGUAGAGAAUACCAAGGCGCUUGAGAGAACUCGGGUGAAGGAACUAGGCAAAAUGGUGCCGUAACUUCGGGAGAAGGCACGCUGACACGUAGGUGAAGUGAUUUACUCAUGGAGCUGAAGUCAGUCGAAGAUACCAGCUGGCUGCAACUGUUUAUUAAAAACACAGCACUGUGCAAACACGAAAGUGGACGUAUACGGUGUGACGCCUGCCCGGUGCCGGAAGGUUAAUUGAUGGGGUCAGCGCAAGCGAAGCUCCUGAUCGAAGCCCCGGUAAACGGCGGCCGUAACUAUAACGGUCCUAAGGUAGCGAAAUUCCUUGUCGGGUAAGUUCCGACCUGCACGAAUGGCGUAAUGAUGGCCAGGCUGUCUCCACCCGAGACUCAGUGAAAUUGAACUCGCUGUGAAGAUGCAGUGUACCCGCGGCAAGACGGAAAGACCCCGUGAACCUUUACUAUAGCUUGACACUGAACAUUGAGCCUUGAUGUGUAGGAUAGGUGGGAGGCUUUGAAGUGUGGACGCCAGUCUGCAUGGAGCCGACCUUGAAAUACCACCCUUUAAUGUUUGAUGUUCUAACGUGGACCCGUAAUCCGGGUUGCGGACAGUGUCUGGUGGGUAGUUUGACUGGGGCGGUCUCCUCCUAAAGAGUAACGGAGGAGCACGAAGGUUGGCUAAUCCUGGUCGGACAUCAGGAGGUUAGUGCAAUGGCAUAAGCCAGCUUGACUGCGAGCGUGACGGCGCGAGCAGGUGCGAAAGCAGGUCAUAGUGAUCCGGUGGUUCUGAAUGGAAGGGCCAUCGCUCAACGGAUAAAAGGUACUCCGGGGAUAACAGGCUGAUACCGCCCAAGAGUUCAUAUCGACGGCGGUGUUUGGCACCUCGAUGUCGGCUCAUCACAUCCUGGGGCUGAAGUAGGUCCCAAGGGUAUGGCUGUUCGCCAUUUAAAGUGGUACGCGAGCUGGGUUUAGAACGUCGUGAGACAGUUCGGUCCCUAUCUGCCGUGGGCGCUGGAGAACUGAGGGGGGCUGCUCCUAGUACGAGAGGACCGGAGUGGACGCAUCACUGGUGUUCGGGUUGUCAUGCCAAUGGCACUGCCCGGUAGCUAAAUGCGGAAGAGAUAAGUGCUGAAAGCAUCUAAGCACGAAACUUGCCCCGAGAUGAGUUCUCCCUGAGACUUAGAGUCUCCUGAAGGAACGUUGAAGACGACGACGUUGAUAGGCCGGGUGUGUAAGCGCAGCGAUGCGUUGAGCUAACCGGUACUAAUGAACCGUGAGGCUUAACCUUACA